This 415-nucleotide ribosomal RNA is filed under the name Amphicyclus sp. AKM-2016. RNAcentral describes it as "partial 12S ribosomal RNA". The record is from RNAcentral. Lineage: Eukaryota; Metazoa; Echinodermata; Holothuroidea; Dendrochirotida; Cucumariidae.
UUGAGGAGGGUGACGGGCGGUGUGUGCAUAUUCUGGGUCUUGUUUCACAUUUAUUUGUCUUUAUUUUGUUACUGUUGAAUCCUUUUUCUAUCAAGUUUUGCAUUUUAAUUUUCUCGAGUUUGAAAGUAAAGUAGCUCAUUAGCCUCCGAUUUAUAAGUUGCACCUUGAUCUGACGUUUUGGGAUUCUUCCGUUAAGUCUACGUUCUUAGAGGUAGGCUGGCGACGAUGGUAUACAGACUGUUUAAAUUCUAAAAUCGGUGAGGUUGCUCGUGGGUUAUCGAUUAGGUAACAAGCUCCUCCAAAAAGGUUUAGAAAACCGCCAAGUUCUUUAAGUUUCGAUAGUUAAAAUUGUAUUACUCUGGUGUUGUUAAAAAGGAGGUUUGUUUUAGGUUAUAGUGGGGUAUCUAAUCCCAGA